This 176-nucleotide ribosomal RNA is filed under the name uncultured freshwater bacterium. RNAcentral's name for it is "partial 16S ribosomal RNA". It matches the Rfam family "Bacterial small subunit ribosomal RNA", at positions 334 to 507 of the family's 1533-position model. The record is from RNAcentral.
GACUCCUACGGGAGGCAGCAGUGAGGAAUAUUGGACAAUGGGCGCAAGCCUGAUCCAGCCAUGCCGCGUGCAGGAUGACGGUCCUAUGGAUUGUAAACUGCUUUUGUACAGGAAGAAACACUCCCUCGUGAGGGAGCUUGACGGUACUGUAAGAAUAAGGAUCGGCUAACUCCGUG